CAUCAAGAAGCUUUUUAAGCACUAGCCUUUUAAGCUAGAGAAGGGACCACCACCACCCCAUGAUGA
This 66-nucleotide transfer RNA is filed under the name Anilios australis (Southern blind snake). Its description in RNAcentral is "transfer RNA-Lys". The record is from RNAcentral. Lineage: Eukaryota; Metazoa; Chordata; Lepidosauria; Squamata; Typhlopidae.